GUCGAGCGAGCUUGCCUAGAUGAUUUUAGUGCUUGCACUAAAUGAAACUAUAUACAAGCGAGCGGCGGACGGGUGAGUAACACGUGGGUAACCUGCCCAAGAGACUGGGAUAACACCUGGAAACAGAUGCUAAUACCGGAUAACAACACUAGACGCAUGUCUAGAGUUUGAAAGAUGGUUCUGCUAUCACUCUUGGAUGGACCUGCGGUGCAUUAGCUAGUUGGUAAGGUAACGGCUUACCAAGGCAAUGAUGCAUAGCCGAGUUGAGAGACUGAUCGGCCACAUUGGGACUGAGACACGGCCCAAACUCCUACGGGAGGCAGCAGUAGGGAAUCUUCCACAAUGGACGAAAGUCUGAUGGAGCAACGCCGCGUGAGUGAAGAAGGGUUUCGGCUCGUAAAGCUCUGUUGGUAGUGAAGAAAGAUAGAGGUAGUAACUGGCCUUUAUUUGACGGUAAUUACUUAGAAAGUCACGGCUAACUACGUGCCAGCAGCCGCGGUAAUACGUAGGUGGCAAGCGUUGUCCGGAUUUAUUGGGCGUAAAGCGAGUGCAGGCGGUUCAAUAAGUCUGAUGUGAAAGCCUUCGGCUCAACCGGAGAAUUGCAUCAGAAACUGUUGAACUUGAGUGCAGAAGAGGAGAGUGGAACUCCAUGUGUAGCGGUGGAAUGCGUAGAUAUAUGGAAGAACACCAGUGGCGAAGGCGGCUCUCUGGUCUGCAACUGACGC
This 725-nucleotide ribosomal RNA is filed under the name uncultured bacterium. Its description in RNAcentral is "bacterial SSU rRNA". It matches the Rfam family "Bacterial small subunit ribosomal RNA", at positions 61 to 746 of the family's 1533-position model. The record is from RNAcentral.